Molecule: ribosomal RNA, 236 nt
Filed under: uncultured bacterium
Lineage: Bacteria
Description: partial 16S ribosomal RNA
Rfam family: Bacterial small subunit ribosomal RNA
Source: RNAcentral
GAUCAUGGCUCAGGACGAACGCUGGCGGCGUGCUUAACACAUGCAAGUCGAACGGAGCACCCUUGAUUGAGGUUUCGGCCAAAUGAUAGGAAUGCUUAGUGGCGGACUGGUGAGUAACGCGUGAGGAACCUGCCUUUCAGAGGGGGACAACAGUUGUAAACGACUGCUAAUACCGCAUGACGCAUUUUGAUCGCAUGGUCGAAAUGCCAAAGAUUUAUCGCUGAAAGAUGGCCCCG